This 437-nucleotide ribosomal RNA is filed under the name uncultured Acetobacter sp. RNAcentral describes it as "bacterial SSU rRNA". It matches the Rfam family "Bacterial small subunit ribosomal RNA", at positions 83 to 553 of the family's 1533-position model. The record is from RNAcentral. Lineage: Bacteria; Pseudomonadati; Pseudomonadota; Alphaproteobacteria; Acetobacterales; Acetobacteraceae.
GGUUUCGGCCUAGUGGCGGACGGGUGAGUAACGCGUAGGUAUCUAUCCAUGGGUGGGGGAUAACACUGGGAAACUGGUGCUAAUACCGCAUGACACCUGAGGGUCAAAGGCGUACGUCGCCUGUGGAGGAGCCUGCGUUUGAUUAGCUAGUUGGUGGGGUAAAGGCCUACCAAGGCGAUGAUCAAUAGCUGGUUUGAGAGGAUGAUCACCCUCACUGGGACUGAGACACCGCCCAGACUCCUACGGGAGGCAGCAGUGGGGAAUAUUGGACAAUGGGGGCAACCCUGAUCCAGCAAUGCCGCGUGUGUGAAGAAGGUCUUCGGAUUGUAAAGCACUUUCGACGGCGACGAUGAUGACGGUACCCGUAGAAUAAGCCCCGGCUAACUUCGUGCCAGCAGCCGCGGUAAUACGAAGGGGGCUAGCGUUGCUCGGAAUGA